GCGCCCCCUGCUGGUGGAUGGCUCAGGACGGGGCAGUUGCCAUGGGAGGCCCGCCGCCUGCUGGAAGGAAGAUGGUCAAUUCUUUUGAGCCACAAAGGCCCUGCAGAGUCCUGGAGUCAGUGUGGCCUGGCUUCCUGGGUGCACCUUGUGCUGGUGGAUUGCUCAGGACGGGACAGUUGCCGUGGGAGGUCCGCUGCCUGCUGUCAGGGAAGAUGGUCGAUGCUUCUGAGCAACAUAGGCCCACGUGGAUUCCGUGUGGCCUGGCAUCCACUGUGCACCCCAUGCUGGCGGGUGGCUCAGGACGGAGCAGUUGCCUUGAGAUGCCCACUGCCUGCUGGCACAGCAGAUGGUCAAUUCUUCUGAGCAAUGGAGUCCCCACUGAGUCAUGGAGUCGGUGUGGCCUGGCAUCCACGGUGCACCCUGUGCUGGUGGAUGGCUCAGGACGCAGUUUGUCAUGAGAGGUCUACCACUUGCUGGCAAAGAAGAUGGUCAAUUCUUUUGACCAACGGAGGCUGCCUUGAGUCCUUGAUUUGGUGUGGCCUGGCGUCUAUGGUGCACCCCAUGCUGGUGGAUGGCUCAGGAUGGGGCAGUUGCCGUGGAAGGCCCGCAGCCUGCUGCAAGGAAGAUGGUUGAUGCUUACGAGCAACAAAGGCUCCAUGGAGUCGUGAAGUCGGUGUGGCCUGGCAUCCACGGUGCACCCUGUGCUGGUGGAUGGCUCAGGACGGUGCAGUUUUCAUGGGAGGCGUGGCACCUGCUGGAAGGAAGAUAGUUGAUUCUCCUGAGUAAUGAAGGCCACGCAGAGUCCUGGUUUCAGUUAUCCACAGUGCACCCCGUGCUGGUGGGUGGCUCAGGACGCCAGGUUCUGGUCACAAAUAUGUGAAGCCGUAGACUAGCGGAUUUCAUAAGUACCACAGGAGUCUAGAUGACAUGGCCUUCCUGACCUGUGAACCUGUCUUUCUGAAGCACACUCAUUUCUUCUGCACCUUCCCAGUGUCAUUGGCAUGGAAGGAAGGCCCUUGUCCAAGAAAGAUGGUCUUCAUCUUGUGUGAUCUUUGAGAUGCCAUAAGGCCCCUGGAUACACAUGGUGUGGGCUCCUUUGGAGGCUUUUGGAUUUCUCCUGAAUGUGGCGUUGGUAUGAAAGGAAGGCCAGUGACCACAAGGGACGAUCUUCAUCUUGGGAGAUUUUUGGAGAUGGUGAAGUGCCUGUAAACAUGUGUGUCAUGGUCUCCUUCAGGCUGGUGGACACCUCAGGACGGUGGUGUUGGCAUGGAAGGAGGGCCUGUGUCUGCGAGGGAUGAUCAUCCUCUCAUGUGAUCCUUGGAGAUGCCAGGAAGCCCCUUGACACAUGUGGCAUGGACUCCUUCAGAGGCUUUUGGAUCCUUCGUGAAUGUGGCAUGGGCAUGCAAAGACAGACAGAGGCUGCAGGGAUGAACUUCAUCUUGGGGGAAUCUCUGGAGAUGGCAGGGAACCCCUGGACACAUGUGGCAUGGGCUCCUUCGGGUGCCGGUGGAUCCCUUCAUAUGGUGGCCAUGAUGAAUUGGCCAGGCCCAUGUUGGUGAGGGACAAUCAUCACCUCGUGCUAUUCUCAGAGAUGCCAGGAAGCUCCUGGACACACAUGGUGUAGGCUUCUUUGGAGGCUGUUGGAUCCCUCCUGAAUGUGAUGGUGUAAAAGGCAAACCUUUGUCAUGAGGGAUGAUCAUCGUCUUGUGUGGUCCUUGGAGAUGGCAGGAAGCCCUGGACAAUACACAGUGUUCGCUCCUUCAGAGGCUAUUGGAAUCCUCCUGGAUGUGGUGUGGGCAUGGAAGGAAGGCCAGUGGAGACAAUGGAUGAUCUUGCUCUUAGAAGAUCACUGGAGGUGGCAGGGAGUCCUAGGACACGUGUGGCGUGGGCCUCUUCAGGUGCUGGUGCUGUUGGCAUGAAAGGAAAGGAGGUAUCUUCGAGGGACAAUCUUCGCCUUGUGCGAUCCUCGGAGAUGCCACGAGGACUCUGGACACAUGUGGUGCGGGCUCCUUUGGAGGCUGUUGACUCCCUUCUGAAUGUGGUGCGGGCAUAGAAGGAAGGCCAUGAAGGACAAUUUUGGUCUUGGGAGAUCCC
Macaca fascicularis (crab-eating macaque) is the source of this 2094-nucleotide long non-coding RNA. The record is from Ensembl. Lineage: Eukaryota; Metazoa; Chordata; Mammalia; Primates; Cercopithecidae.